This 498-nucleotide ribosomal RNA is filed under the name uncultured bacterium. Its description in RNAcentral is "partial 16S ribosomal RNA". It matches the Rfam family "Bacterial small subunit ribosomal RNA", at positions 28 to 508 of the family's 1533-position model. The record is from RNAcentral.
GAUGAACGCUGGCGGCGUGCCUAAUACAUGCAAGUCGAGCGAACAGACGAGGAGCUUGCUCCUCUGACGUUAGCGGCGGACGGGUGAGUAACACGUGGAUAACCUACCUAUAAGACUGGGAUAACUUCGGGAAACCGGAGCUAAUACCGGAUAAUAUAUUGAACCGCAUGGUUCAAUAGUGAAAGACGGUUUUGCUGUCACUUAUAGAUGGAUCCGCGCCGCAUUAGCUAGUUGGUAAGGUAACGGCUUACCAAGGCAACGAUGCGUAGCCGACCUGAGAGGGUGAUCGGCCACACUGGAACUGAGACACGGUCCAGACUCCUACGGGAGGCAGCAGUAGGGAAUCUUCCGCAAUGGGCGAAAGCCUGACGGAGCAACGCCGCGGGAGUGAUGAAGGUCUUCGGAUCGUAAAACUCUGUUAUUAGGGAAGAACAAAUGUGUAAGUAACGAUGCACGUCUUGACGGUACCUAAUCAGAAAGCCACGGCUAAAUACGGGC